This 116-nucleotide small RNA is filed under the name uncultured Butyricicoccus sp. RNAcentral describes it as "ydaO/yuaA leader". It matches the Rfam family "c-di-AMP riboswitch aptamer (ydaO/yuaA leader)", at positions 12 to 118 of the family's 134-position model. From Rfam's summary of the family: This family represents a conserved RNA structure found upstream of the ydaO and yuaA genes in Bacillus subtilis and related genes in other bacteria. The ydaO/yuaA element is thought to act as a genetic "off" switch for the ydaO and yuaA genes in its native state. Lineage: Bacteria; Bacillati; Bacillota; Clostridia; Eubacteriales; Butyricicoccaceae. The record is from RNAcentral.
AGCCGAGUGCCGCGCGCUGUGCGGCAGCGGGAGAACCAAUUUUUGGGGUGUAUCCGUUUUCAAACGGUAGGGGACCUUCUUCCCCGAACCCGUCAGCUAAUCUCGUAGGCGUGGAA